Molecule: ribosomal RNA, 253 nt
Filed under: uncultured bacterium
Lineage: Bacteria
Description: partial 16S ribosomal RNA
Rfam family: Bacterial small subunit ribosomal RNA
Source: RNAcentral
CACGUAGGGCGCAAGCGUUGUCCGGAAUUAUUGGGCGUAAAGAGCUCGUAGGCGGUCUGUUACGUCUGCUGUGAAAACCCGGGGCUUAACCCUGGGCUUGCAGUGGAUACGGGCAGACUAGAGGCAGGUAGGGGAGAAUGGAAUUCCCGGUGUAGCGGUGAAAUGCGCAGAUAUCGGGAGGAACACCGGUGGCGAAGGCGGUUCUCUGGGCCUGACCUGACGCUGAGGAGCGGAAGCGUGGGGAGCGAACAGG